UACGGGGGGGGCAAGCGUUGUUCGGAAUUACUGGGCGUAAAGGGCGCGUAGGCGGCUCUUCAAGUCAGCCGUGAAAUCUCCAGGCUUAACCUGGAAGGGUCGGUUGAUACUGUCGAGCUAGAGUGCGGAAGAGGCAACUGGAAUUCCGUGUGUAGCGGUGAAAUGCGUAGAUAUACGGAGGAACACCUGCGGCGAAGGCGGGUUGCUGGGCCGACACUGACGCUGAGGCGCGAAAGCUAGGGUAGCAAACGGG
Molecule: ribosomal RNA, 253 nt
Filed under: uncultured bacterium
Lineage: Bacteria
Description: partial 16S ribosomal RNA
Rfam family: Bacterial small subunit ribosomal RNA
Source: RNAcentral